GGCCGCAGUAUAUUAACUGUGCAAAGGUAGCAUAAUCAUUAGUCUUUUAAUUGAAGGCUGGUAUGAAUGGUUGGACAAGAUAUUAACUGUUUCAUAAAAAUUUAUAAUAGAAUUUUAUUUUUUAGUCAAAAAGCUAAAAUUUAUUUAAAAGACGAGAAGACCCUAUAAAUCUUUAUACUUAUUUUAUAAUAAUUUAUUAGAUAUAUUUGGUUAUUAUAAUUUUUAGUAUUUUAUUGGGGUGAUAUUAAAAUUUAAUAAACUUUUAAAUAUUUUGUUUCAUUAAUUUAUGAAUAAUUGAUCCGUUAUUAACGAUUAAAAAAAUAAGUUACUUUAGGGAUAACAGCGUAAUUUUUUUGGAGAGUUCACAUUAAUAAAAAAGAUUGCGACCUCGAUGUUGGAUU
This 401-nucleotide ribosomal RNA is filed under the name Frontina laeta. RNAcentral describes it as "partial 16S rRNA". Lineage: Eukaryota; Metazoa; Arthropoda; Insecta; Diptera; Tachinidae. The record is from RNAcentral.